RNAcentral lists this long non-coding RNA (1125 nucleotides) under Mus spicilegus (steppe mouse). RNAcentral's name for it is "lncRNA (ENSMSIG00000017999.1)". Lineage: Eukaryota; Metazoa; Chordata; Mammalia; Rodentia; Muridae. The record is from RNAcentral.
AACACUUUCCUCCUGCCUUGGCACCCAUGUGGUUUGUUCCUUCAUCACCCCCCCCCCACACACACACACACAUACACACAUACUGCUUAAUUUUUCACUUCAGUGUGGUGCAUAAGAGUGAGCACUUGAGAACCAGGAUGCCUGGAUCUCAGCUCUACUGCUGACUACUGUUGGGCAAGUUGCUUAGCUCUCCUGUGCCUUUGUCCUCUCAUGAGUGCACAGCGGUGAUAGUGACUCUGGCUACCCAAGGUUGCUGAGAAGCUAGCAUAGUGCACACUUGCAAUGGACGAGUUGAGUUGAUGCAUAGCCAGAACUUACCCUAGUGCGUUUGGACUGCUUGGCAGUGCCACCCACUCUCUCCUGGUGACUGGCUCUGCACACCUCCCUCUGCAUUUCCUUCAAGACUCCAGUUCUUGUUGAUGUUUUCAUGCUCCCUCCCACCGGAAUGCAACUUUUAAGAGGGAGGCUGUGUGCUCCUUCUGUGUCUCUCUCCCUGUCUUAACAAGCUCUCCUGUAGCUUAGGCUAGCUUGGAGUUCUCUAUCCAGCCAGGGCUGGCUUUGAACUCCUGAUUCUCUGGCCUCCAUCUCCCAAGGGCUGGGAUUACAGGUGUAUACCACCGCCCUGUAUUCAAGGACUCUUUCAUCGCUGCUCCUGUUUACACCCUGAGUGCUCACACAAAGUCUUAAUCGGCUUCUGGUCGUGGAUAUAUAGGGAAGCCAAACCUCACUGAGACCCGCUGUUGCCAGAGGCGAGAUCAAGCACUGGGAGUUGGGCACCCUGGCUGUGGAGACUGGCAGAAGAACCAGCAACUGCCCUGUGGCCAGCGUGCCUGGAAAGGUACCAAGGGGGAAGAGCCUGCGCCUCUGGAGUGAUUGGAGCUGGGGGGUGGUAGGGAGCGAUCUGAAACCUCGUGGCCACUCCGAUCUGUGCAGACUUGGGGCUGGGGUAAUCCCAGAACCAACAGUGGUGGCUCGGUUCUGUGGGUCCAGAAGCAGCGGGGUGCUCUUGCUGGAUGGGCCGCGGCAGGUGGGGCGCGCCUUCCGGAGCGUGGCUGGCGGGCGGUGCCGGGGAAGGGGCCGUUACUUUCCCAGAGUGGCGGGGAGGGCGACGUCAGGCGGAAGGGC